RNAcentral lists this ribosomal RNA (465 nucleotides) under uncultured bacterium. RNAcentral's name for it is "partial 16S ribosomal RNA". It matches the Rfam family "Bacterial small subunit ribosomal RNA", at positions 28 to 507 of the family's 1533-position model. The record is from RNAcentral.
GAUGAACGAGGGAGGAGGGAGGAAAAGAGAAAAGUCGAACGACAAGGCCCAAGCUUGCUUAGGUACUCGAGUGGCGAACGGGUGAGUAACACGUGGGUGAUCUGCCCUGCACUUCGGGAUAAGCCUGGGAAACUGGGUCUAAUACCGGAUAGGACCACAUUUUGGAUGGUGUGGUGGAAAGUUUUUCGGUGUGGGAUGAGCUCGCGGCCUAUCAGCUUGUUGGUGGGGUAAUGGCCUACCAAGGCGUCGCAGGGGCGCGGGCCUGAGAGGGUGUACGGCCACAUUGGGACUGAUCGACGGCCCAGACUCCUACGGGAGGCAGCAGUGGGGAAUAUUGCACAAUGGGCGCAAGCCUGAUGCAGCGACGCCGCGUGGGGGGUCCCUCCCUUGUUGUUGUAAACUCCUUUCGCGUGGGACUAAGCGCAAGUGACGGUACCUGGAGACGAAGACCCCCCUCCCUACGUU